This is a long non-coding RNA of Hemicordylus capensis (graceful crag lizard), 1907 nucleotides long. RefSeq lists it as uncharacterized. The record is from RefSeq and is a predicted model, not a curated record. The transcript is spliced from 9 exons. Lineage: Eukaryota; Metazoa; Chordata; Lepidosauria; Squamata; Cordylidae.
UUCACAGUGGUGCAUCACAACUUCAGCAGUUCUGCCACAGAGCUUGUGGUGGUCAGUGGUGUGCCUGAGCCAGCUCAGGGAGGGUUGGAGUCUGGCUUGAGGAUUCUUCUGAAGCAGCUGACUAGCUGGCUUUUAUUGCAAGACAGAGAACACAAGAUCUCUUCAUUGAUCCUGCAAGGUGGCUGUAGUAUUUUGCCUUGAAAGACUGGAAGUUCCCUCCAUGAGAACCUGGGAGGACAAGGAUGGCCUCCUGUGCUGUUCUGCAGAGAGGAGCAGCCUUCGAUGGUGAGCAAAGAAGCAGUAGCGCAGUCCGCUCUCGGGAGCAGCACCUGGCUCUAGAAUGCUGCCAUGAAUGUCUUCAACUCGCUGCAUUGUAUGUAUUGAAGAGAUUGGAUAUGCUGCACUUGUUGAUCAUCCAUGAUGGACACAACAGCCUCUAUUUGUGUCCUGGAAGGGGCAGAGAGAAGAACUGGCACAGGCCCAGCCCUGGCAGCAGCACGAUCAUCUAGAAUGCCAGAAACCAGCUCUGCUCCUCCCUGCCACGGGAGCAGGCUUUGAAGGGGUUGAAAGAAGCAAGACCACGGUGCCUCCCUCAGCAGCACUCUCUCUGGCAGUCAGCUCCUGGUGUUCUGCAGGGCAGCCUUGGAAGUGAUAGGAAGAAUUCGUGUGGUCCAUGAUGAAGGAAAACCAGGUUCUGGCUGGUCCAGGCCUGUGCAUGUCGAUAGUUGGCAAUAAAUGAGGCCCACAGGUGGCAUCAGGCUGAGAGAACAGUGUGAACAACACAAUGCUCCACCCCUUGGGUUUCUAGUUGGGAGCUGUAAAGCCACAUGUCUUUGUCUAAGCCUCUCUAUGCUUUGCUUUCUGAGUCUGAGCAGAAAGAAGAUGUGAUGGCAUCCCAGUCUUGGGAGCAGCAGGAUCAGCUAGACUGCUGGAAAGCUCCUCCCUGCUGGUGGUGAUGGAGCAGGCUCUGAAGGUGUGGAAAGAAGCAGUACCAGGGUCUCAAUCAGUAGGGGCAUCUUCCCUGUGCCCGAUGUUGCAGAGGAGCAGCUGCAGAAGUGGCAGAAACGAUCGGUGCAGCCACAGCCUCAGCCUCAGGUGCAACACGAUUCUCGGACACAAGAAACCUCUGUGACUGGUGGCAGACAUGCUUGACGUUUGGAUCUUGUCACGAACCCAGCUCUGACCGAGAUGACUCACAGGCCAGUGUGGACGCCCUCAAAAACCCCUUGCCUGUGUUGUAGCUGGCUCUGUAUUGAGGCUUCUCUUCGCCUGCACUGUUGGCAGAAGCACCUUGCAGGAUGUCUUGCUUCCCAUUCCUGUCCCCUGCUCUUGGAUGUCUCCGCUCCUGACACUUGAACUCUGACUUUGCCUGCUUCAAAUGGACUGACACUUUCCUUCAGCCUCGCACCCCUCUUGCCCAGCCGGGACAGCCAGAAGACGGACACUGCUCAGCCUUGGCUCUGCUGCCUUGGUCAGCAUUGUGGUCUUCCUUUCCUGAGUACCUGAUAAUCUGCCUCUCCAGCCACUAACUACAUCAGUGUUGUCUUGGAGUCUCCUGUGAGAGGAGAGACGCUGUGCCCCUGGGGCUUAUAAAGAGGGAGGGUGUGCCCCCAAGAGGCACACUGGAUCUAGUCUUCCACCAAGUGAGACUACCUGUGACUCUAUCCAUCACCUGCCCUGCCUAGCAUCCCACCCCCCAUCUGAGGAAGCACCAGCUGCCACUGAGGGAUGGGCCUUGUCUGGGGCUACGCUGAGACUCUGGAAUCCAUUCCCUGCAGAAAUCAGAGCCUCCCCAUCUCAAACUACUUAAGACAUUGGACACAUUUCUUCACCCAAGCUUUUAAAGUAGAUGUGGCUUUAACUUCCUGGUCUUUGACUGUAAUAAAGAUGUGUAUCUGAAGGUUUUA